This 229-nucleotide ribosomal RNA is filed under the name uncultured bacterium. Its description in RNAcentral is "partial 16S ribosomal RNA". It matches the Rfam family "Bacterial small subunit ribosomal RNA", at positions 568 to 796 of the family's 1533-position model. The record is from RNAcentral.
UCCGCAGGCGGGCAAUUAAGUCAGGGGUGAAAUGGUACGGCUCAACCGUAGCACUGCCCUUGAUACUGGUUGUCUUGAGUCAUAGUGAAGUGGCCGGAAUAUGUAGUGUAGCGGUGAAAUGCAUAGAUAUUACAUAGAACACCGAUUGCGAAGGCAGGUCACUAACUAUCGACUGACGCUGAUGGACGAAAGCGUGGGGAGCAAACAGGAUUAGAUACCCUGGUAGUCC